This 28-nucleotide non-coding RNA is filed under the name Mus musculus (house mouse). The record is from RNAcentral. Lineage: Eukaryota; Metazoa; Chordata; Mammalia; Rodentia; Muridae.
UGAAGGGCACUGUGGAUCUCAUAACUUG